This 1420-nucleotide ribosomal RNA is filed under the name uncultured bacterium. Its description in RNAcentral is "bacterial SSU rRNA". It matches the Rfam family "Bacterial small subunit ribosomal RNA". The record is from RNAcentral.
AGAGUUUGAUCCUGGCUCAGGAUGAACGCUGGCGGCGUGCCUAAUACUUGCAAGUCGAGCGAACGGACGAGAAGCUUGCUUCUCUGAUGUUAGCGGCGGACGGGUGAGUAACACGUGGAUAACCUACCUAUAAGACUGGGAUAACUUCGGGAAACCGGAGCUAAUACCGGAUAAUAUUUUGAACCGCAUGGUUCAAAAGUGAAAGACGGUCUUGCUGUCACUUAUAGAUGGAUCCGCGCUGCAUUAGCUAGUUGGUAAGGUAACGGCUUACCAAGGCAACGAUGCAUAGCCGACCUGAGAGGGUGAUCGGCCACACUGGAACUGAGACACGGUCCAGACUCCUACGGGAGGCAGCAGUAGGGAAUCUUCCGCAAUGGGCGAAAGCCUGACGGAGCAACGCCGCGUGAGUGAUGAAGGUCUUCGGAUCGUAAAACUCUGUUAUUAGGGAAGAACAUAUGUGUAAGUAACUGUGCACAUCUUGACGGUACCUAAUCAGAAAGCCACGGCUAACUACGUGCCAGCAGCCGCGGUAAUACGUAGGUGGCAAGCGUUAUCCGGAAUUAUUGGGCGUAAAGCGCGCGUAGGCGGUUUUUUAAGUCUGAUGUGAAAGCCCACGGCUCAACCGUGGAGGGUCAUUGGAAACUGGAAAACUUGAGUGCAGAAGAGGAAAGUGGAAUUCCAUGUGUAGCGGUGAAAUGCGCAGAGAUAUGGAGGAACACCAGUGGCGAAGGCGACUUUCUGGUCUGUAACUGACGCUGAUGUGCGAAAGCGUGGGGAUCAAACAGGAUUAGAUACCCUGGUAGUCCACGCCGUAAACGAUGAGUGCUAAGUGUUAGGGGGUUUCCGCCCCUUAGUGCUGCAGCUAACGCAUUAAGCACUCCGCCUGGGGAGUACGACCGCAAGGUUGAAACUCAAAGGAAUUGACGGGGACCCGCACAAGCGGUGGAGCAUGUGGUUUAAUUCGAAGCAACGCGAAGAACCUUACCAAAUCUUGACAUCCUUUGACAACUCUAGAGAUAGAGCUUUCCCCUUCGGGGGACAAAGUGACAGGUGGUGCAUGGUUGUCGUCAGCUCGUGUCGUGAGAUGUUGGGUUAAGUCCCGCAACGAGCGCAACCCUUAAGCUUAGUUGCCAUCAUUAAGUUGGGCACUCUAAGUUGACUGCCGGUGACAAACCGGAGGAAGGUGGGGAUGACGUCAAAUCAUCAUGCCCCUUAUGAUUUGGGCUACACACGUGCUACAAUGGACAAUACAAAGGGCAGCGAAACCGCGAGGUCAAGCAAAUCCCAUAAAGUUGUUCUCAGUUCGGAUUGUAGUCUGCAACUCGACUACAUGAAGCUGGAAUCGCUAGUAAUCGUAGAUCAGCAUGCUACGGUGAAUACGUUCCCGGGUCUUGUACACACCGCCCGUCACACCACGAGA